UUAUGAAAAGGUAAAGGCUCAUUCAUAUGCUUUUCAUUUCCCUUGUUGCAUUUCUGAAAACAACGAUUACUGAUAGGCGAUGUUAGUCACUGGACAACUGGAUUUAUAUAGUCAUUAUAAAGGUCACUGUACUCUAAGUGUUUUGGCAUAGGAAUGUCACCUAACUGAUGUGAUUGUUCCUUCCUUGUUGUCACUUGACUUACAGUUGUUAAUUGUUUUAUUGCGGUAACUGGACAUAGGAUUUGUUAUAAUCACUGAAUCUAGAGUGUUUUUGUCACUGGACUUGGCAGUUAUGGUCACUGUACCGCUUGAAUGGACUGAUAAAUUUACAAGGUAAAUAUCGAUUUAUUUUGUCAUUACUAGAAACAUUUAAAAAAAUUCAAAAGACUAUUUUCGGAAUUUUCUUUUAUUACAGAAAACUUUUACAGCUGGUUUCUGGAAACAGAGUUAUAAUUUCUACCCCCCCCCCCCCUUUCCCCCAGUUGAAACAAACUCUUUACAAAACUUCAUCAUCAGUACUAGAUUGGAGGUCUAAAACUACAGUGUUGAAGUACAUUGGGUAUUUUUAUAAAAUGGGCACGAACAUAUCAAGAAAUAUCUUCGAUACUACCGUGUGAUGAAGUAUAUGUCAGCUUAUAUUUGCAAAAUCUAUUAGAUACCAGUAGUCAAUGCAGUGGUGUUGAGGCUGCAUUUUACAGUAUUUAGUGAGCACAUCAUAUUGCGGGUAUAAAGAAUCCUUGUGAUUGAGAUUUUGUAAGAAGUAUACUUGACGCAUCUAAACAUAUAUUAUCUAGACCGAUUCAGAAAAAAAAUGAUCACUUUAUAAAACAAAAAUUUGAGACAUAAUCAGAAAUUAGUUUUAUUAUUUUAUUAGAGAAUACAGCUUGGUUUGGGGUUUUAGUUAGUUUCAGCAAUUAAGUAUCGUUGUGCACAACAAUGUGUUAUGUGUGUUUGACCAAGUGAAUUUUGAACUACUUAAAUAUAUUUGCUUUGUUCCUACAAUCCGAACAAACCAUCAGGACCUGGUUGUUCAAAAGUGUCGUUAGGCUAACAACUAGUUAAGCCUAAUAACUCGUUAAAGUUUUACAUUGUUGUGAUGCUUAUCACUGCGUUAAAUUAUGUUGUUCAAAACAAUUUAACGACUGGGUUAACUAACAACUUGCUUAAAAAUUUAACAACUCUUAAUUUUAAUAUUUACCAAUAAUUCCCUGUUGAAAAUUAAAUUUAACCAAUAAUUCCUCCACUUCCUGUUUGAAAAUGGCUGAACAACAACCCCAAGAGAAAAUACCCAGAAUAAGAGGGCAGAACUUUUCCAAAAUGGAAGUUAACCUCAUUAGUAGAAGAGUGGUUGAGGAACUUGUUUUGUUGAGGAGAGGAAACGGACAGGAGAAGGACCUUCUCCAAAGCCCAUCAGUGUUGCUGAGGAGAACAUCAUCAAUCUUUGAAAGAUACCUCCUAUUUCAAAGGUAUUGAUGAAGGGAUGGAGAAUUCAGUAGAGAGAAACAUGUGAGAGCAGAACAACAGAAUUCAGUAUACAAGGUGUGUAUUUAAAUAAGAUAUCCAUGCAUACACGUCCAUAAAUUACUAAAGAAAUUUUGUUUGAUGCUUGUCUGAUGAAAAUCAAUUUAUCUAAAAAAAAAAAAAAAGAUCCAUCUAUUUGCUUCUGAUCGAUUUCAAGGAUUUGUAUAGUAGUCUGUAACCUUUUAUAACUUAUUAGUAUUUAAGAAAAAAAUGACAGUUUCUAAUACAUAUUUUUUUUUUAAAUUGCGGGCCAAACACGUUUAAUAAAUGUUUUAUAAAAGUUCCUAAUACAGAUUUAUAUAAGCAAGGGUUUAUAAAAUGUUAAAACUGACUGGAAAUUUGCAAUAUUUUUAUAAUUGUAACCAUGGGUCAAUAAGUGAAGAGUGGGAUUUUUUGCCUAUGUUGAAAUUAAUUUUGUAUACAUUUUCGAGUGCAAUUGUAAUCAAUGAAGGAUAAUGUUCAUGCAUAUCGAUCCUUUGUAUGCAUAGUAUAUAAAUGACAGCUCGUGAAAACAGAGACAAGAAUAAGAUUAUUCAAUUGUUAUUCUGUGUUAUUCUAUUUGAAUUGGAUAUAAUGAAGGGUAUAAAUUAUCUAUCUAAUAUCCCAAAUAACAGGAUUGUUAAACAAAAUAUAAUUAAGUGACUUCUAUUUCAGAAAGCUCAUCAUCUGAUCAGAUAUAUUCUGCUGAACCUGUCAGCUCACAAAUUCCAGCACAGAUUACUGCUUCAAGAUGCCAGACAGCUGAUGAACCACCAUCCUUUUGGAGAGUAUCUGGAUUAGGAGACUAGAGCAGCUUCAACAGAGAAAUGAAGAAACACCUGUUACUGUACAUGCCAGCCUACCAGUGCGUGCCUAAAUACCUCUUUCAGCUACCAGCACUCAGCAAACCCCAAAAGCCAGAAAGAAAGCGGAUGAAGAAAGCUACGAGAAAACUGCAAACGACGUGUAUGAGUUGCAGUGUCAGGUGUUGCAAAGCGAGUUGAAAAGAAAUCAGACCAAAAUGGAACUAUUCGAUAAGCAAAUGGAAUUCUAUAACAUGAUGAAAGGUUUUUUUAAAAUAACUGUACCGUUUCAAUGUUGAAGCUCUACCUAAUUACCUUUAAUCAGCAUUUAUUUAUCGUUCCAUAUUAAUGUUAUUUUUUUCAUAUGUUUUAUUAUUAUUGAUGAAAUGCAUAUUUAAAAAAAAGCUUUUUUCAAUGUUUUAUUCGUGGAUUUCAGCGAUUAAAAAUGUGGAGGAAAUGUGAUCUCUGACAGCUCUUCCAUUCUGAUCACCAACGAAACGUUCCCCAAGAUCUCCCUCAUUGCCUAUCACUACUCCAUCAUAUUCGAUGUCCGGUUCAUUCAAUAAGAUGCAAAUGUUGUGAGAAAUAGCACAAGAAAUGAUGAUAGUGCAUGCCUUGCUUGGUGUCAUUCUUAUCUUAAACCAAAAAGUAAAAGUAAUGUACAAUAUAUAAUUACAGGGCCACAAAUUUCCAGCUUUGGCCUUAGUUUUCAACUUUAUAAGACUAAGAUAAGCUCACAAAUAUAUUUUAUAAUGCAAAGCAUUUUUUUAUUUUGUAUAGUUUUACACCUUUUUUAAAGUUUCAAAUGUUAACAAUGAAUCUAUUGUUUUUGGUCAGGACAUAAACAGAUUUGGCUUUGAAAUUGCAUGUUUCAAAUUUGUCUGAUCAUCCGAAUGUGUUCGCUUUUGUUCCUCUCUGAAUUAACAGUUAUCAUAUUGAUAUGGAUAAUAAUUGAUAUAUAAAAUUUUAAAAGUAAUUUACUGCUAAUUAUUUAGAUAAUUAUUAAUUUUCAGGAGCCAAUGUGACUUCAAGUCCUUCUUUGCAUAGCAAUUCGUAUAACAUAUACCUCUGAGUGUAAUAUAUGGAACCGUCUCUUAAGACUUCCAAAUGUCCUCUCAAUUACACUUCUGGUUAACGAAUGGCAUCUGUUGUGUUUUUUCUGUUGGUUUUGUACAGGAUUCUGGUAUGGGGUCAUCAAGAAGGAGCGGCAAGGAUAUCCACUAUCUCCAAGAAGUUAGCCAUUUCCCAAUCCGUCAUUUUGUUCCUUACAUGUACAGACCUAUGUAACGAUUUAGAUUUUUUAAACCAAUUCUUUAGUUUUAACAACAAAAAGUUCUAAAAUACUGCAGAUAUAAAAAUGACAUUGCAAUAUUAUAUAACUUCCUUCAAAAACCCUUAUCUAAUACACUGCAGUGGUAAUAAAAUAUGAUUUAUUACAGACUCCAGUAACAACAUUUACAAGGCUUGAAUUCCUUUUAAGUUCAGUGUAAUCAAGUAUACUUCUCCCUUAAAAUGCACGUGAGAGAUGUGAAUAAGCAUUGUUUUUUCAAUACACUCAGUCUGUGAAUACCAAUCACAGAAAAUACCAUCAAAACAACUCAAAUGAUGAAAGGGAGUGAAAAUACGUGGAUUUUUUUUUACCUCCCUCACAGGUGAUAUGUCUUAAGAUGAAGAUCUCAUUUUUUUUUAAAUAAGAAAAAGUCUUCCUUCUUUAAUUGUUGCGUUGGCAUGUAUGGCAUAUAUAUUAUUAUUAUUACAAAGUAUCAGCCAUAACAACAAUCAAACUCAGUCAGAGCAAUCACCAGUGUAUACAAUAUUCAGAAACCAUUCCAAUAUUAAAUGAAAUAUGAUCAAAAUGUUUUAAAACUUACCAUUUGUGUCUUCAACUACUUGCAGAAAACUUCCAGAGCUAAACAUCUCAGGGUCACCAUUAUUUGCUGUGGUACAGUCAAAACAUGAUUUCUGUUUGUUUGUCUUCUUUCAUCAUUACUAAUUUAGUUUGACAAAAACAUUAUUCCAUUUCUCACAAAGCUGUAGCGUUGUCUAAACUCCUCAUUUGUGAAAUUUAAGGUUAGGUCAUCUUUGAGUCGAAAAUUUCUUUCUUUUCCUUGAGCUUUUUGAAGGCGGCCAUAUUUAACAAACAUUUUAACAUUUAAUCGAAUGUACAUGUAUGUUCAAGUGUUCAGUAUGAAAUACAUAUAUUUGAUUUUUAUUUUUUUACCGGAUGGAACAAAGGCUGAAUAUAAUCAUUGCCUUUAAAACAUUCAUAUGCAAUAAUAUGGGAUCAAAUAAAUCUUUUAACAGAUAACAAAAUUCAAAUCUAAAAUAUAAGAACUUGAUAUUACAUUACAUGUAUAAACCGGUAUGCAAAAUAAAAUGUAAUAUAAAUAUUCAUGUUCAUAUAGAAUGUAAAAUUGAAAAUGGAAAUGGGGAAUGUGUCAAAGAGACAACAACCCGACCAGAAAACAGCCCAAGGCCAUCAAUGGGUCUUCAACAUGUGUACAUGUGAACAAUUCAACAAAUGUAUGUACCACUGAUAUCUACUACAAUAAAAUAUCUAAAAUGUAGGUGCUGCUAUAGCUUUAUAUAUGUAAAUUGAUAAUCAUGAUGUAUGUCAUGCUUGCCUUAUAUCAUGUAUAUUGUCUUGCAAUAUUGUUAAUUUUCAUUUUUAUCGUUAUCAUUUUCAUUUUCAUUUUAUUUGUUUGUUUUAUUUGUUAAAUUUUUUAAUAUCUUUUCAUUUAAACCGAAUAACUGUGCCCUUCUGUAUUUUUGUAUGUUUAUAUGCUAUGUUUACAAUGUGUAAAUGUAUCUAAGCAUCAUAUGCUAUUGACCAAAUACAUGUAAGACAUGGUCAAUUUGUACUUUUUCACCAAAUAAAUGAUUUAUUUUAAAUGUAA
Mytilus californianus (California mussel) is the source of this 5200-nucleotide long non-coding RNA. RefSeq lists it as uncharacterized. The record is from RefSeq and is a predicted model, not a curated record. NCBI's taxonomy places the organism in Eukaryota, Metazoa, Mollusca, Bivalvia, Mytilida, Mytilidae. The transcript is spliced from 5 exons.